GGGGAAUAUUGCACAAUGGGGGAAACCCUGAUGCAGCGACGCCGCGUGAGCGAUGAAGUAUUUCGGUAUGUAAAGCUCUAUCAGCAGGGAAGAAAAUGACGGUACCUGACUAAGAAGCUCCGGCUAACUACGUGCCAGCAGCCGCGGUAAUACGUAGGGAGCAAGCGUUGUCCGGAUUUACUGGGUGUAAAGGGUGCGUAGGCGGCUUUGCAAGUCAGAUGUGAAAUCUAUGGGCUCAACCCAUAAACUGCAUUUGAAACUGUAGAGCUUGAGUGAAGUAGAGGCAGGCGGAAUUCCCCGUGUAGCGGUGAAAUGCGUAGAGAUGGGGAGGAACACCAGUGGCGAAGGCGGCCUGCUGGGCUUCAACUGACGCUGAGGCACGAAAGCGUGGGUAGCAAACAGGAUUAGAUACCCUGGUAGUCCACGCUGUAAACGAUGAUUACUAGGUGUGGGGGGUCUGACCCCUUCCGUGCCGGAGUUAACACAAUAAGUAAUCCACCUGGGGAGUACGGCCGCAAGGUUGAAACUCAAAGGAAUUGACGGGGGCCCGCACAAGCAGUGGAGUAUGUGGUUUAAUUCGAAGCAACGCGAAGAACCUUACCAGGUCUUGACAUCCAACUAACGAAGUAGAGAUACAUUAGGUGCCCUUCGGGGAAAGUUGAGACAGGUGGUGCAUGGUUGUCGUCAGCUCGUGUCGUGGGAUGUUGGGUUAAGUCCCGCAACGAGCGCAACCCUUGCUAUUAGUUGCUACGCAAGAGCACUCUAAUAGGACUGCCGUUGACAAAACGGAGGAAGGUGGGGACGACGUCAAAUCAUCAUGCCCCUUAUGACCUGGGCUACACACGUACUACAAUGGAUGUUAACAGAGGGAAGCAAGACAGCGAUGUGGAGCAAACCCCUAAAAACAUUCUCAGUUCAGAUUGCAGGCUGCAACCCGCCUGCAUGAAGAUGGAAUUGCUAGUAAUCGCGGAUCAGCAUGCCGCGGUGAAUACGUUCCCG
This 999-nucleotide ribosomal RNA is filed under the name uncultured bacterium. Its description in RNAcentral is "bacterial SSU rRNA". It matches the Rfam family "Bacterial small subunit ribosomal RNA", at positions 356 to 1376 of the family's 1533-position model. The record is from RNAcentral.